UACGUAGGGGGCGAGCGUUGUCCGGAUUUAUUGGGCGUAAAGAGCUCGUAGGCGGUUCGAUAAGUCGGACGUGAAAUCUCCACGCUCAACGUGGAGGGGCCGUUCGAUACUGUCGUGACUCGAGUCCGGUAGGGGAGUGUGGAAUUCCAGGUGUAGCGGUGAAAUGCGUAGAUAUCUGGAGGAACACCGGUGGCGAAGGCGGCAUCCUGGACCAACACUGACACUGAUGAGCGAAAGCCAGGGGAGCAAACGGG
RNAcentral lists this ribosomal RNA (254 nucleotides) under uncultured bacterium. Its description in RNAcentral is "partial 16S ribosomal RNA". It matches the Rfam family "Bacterial small subunit ribosomal RNA", at positions 524 to 776 of the family's 1533-position model. The record is from RNAcentral.